This 107-nucleotide small nuclear RNA is filed under the name Capra hircus (goat). The record is from RNAcentral. Lineage: Eukaryota; Metazoa; Chordata; Mammalia; Artiodactyla; Bovidae.
GUGCUUGCUUCCACCGCACAUAUAGUAAAAUUGGAAUGAUACAGAGAAGAUUAGCAUGGCUCCUACGCAAGGAUGACACGCAAAUUCGUGAAGCGUCCCAUAUUUGG